RNAcentral lists this ribosomal RNA (563 nucleotides) under uncultured bacterium. RNAcentral's name for it is "bacterial SSU rRNA". It matches the Rfam family "Bacterial small subunit ribosomal RNA", at positions 338 to 916 of the family's 1533-position model. The record is from RNAcentral.
CCUACGGGAGGCAGCAGUGGGGAAUCUUGCGCAAUGGGCGAAAGCCUGACGCAGCAACGCCGCGUGCGGGAAGAAGGCUUUCGGGCUGUAAACCGCUUUCAGCAGGAACGAAAAUGACGGUACCUGCAGAAGAAGGAGCGGCCAACUAUGUGCCAGCAGCCGCGGUGAUACAUAGGCUUCAAGCGUUGUCCGGAUUUAUUGGGCGUAAAGAGUUCGUAGGCGGUCGAGUAAGUCGGGUGUGAAAAUUCUGGGCUCAACCCAGAGACGCCACCCGAUACUGCUUGACUUGAGUUCGAUAGGGGAGUGGGGAAUUCCUAGUGUGGCGGUGAAAUGCGCAGAUAUUAGGAGGAACACCGGUGGCGAAGGCGCCACUCUGGAUCGAUACUGACGCUGAGGAACGAAAGCAUGGGUAGCAAACAGGAUUAGAUACCCUGGUAGUCCAUGCCGUAAACGGUGGGCACUAGGUGUGGGUUUCUAUUAACGAAAUCCGCGCCGUCGCUAACGCAUUAAGUGCCCCGCCUGGGGAGUACGGUCGCAAGACUAAAACUCAAAGGAAUUGACGG